RNAcentral lists this ribosomal RNA (460 nucleotides) under uncultured beta proteobacterium. Its description in RNAcentral is "bacterial SSU rRNA". It matches the Rfam family "Bacterial small subunit ribosomal RNA", at positions 189 to 645 of the family's 1533-position model. The record is from RNAcentral. Lineage: Bacteria; Pseudomonadati; Pseudomonadota; Betaproteobacteria.
AAGCAGGGGAUCGUAAGGCUUUGCGCUUUUGGAGCGGCCGAUGUCUGAUUAGCUAGUUGGUGGGGUAAAGGCCUACCAAGGCGACGAUCAGUAGUUGGUCUGGGAGGACGACCAGCCACACUGGGACUGAGACACGGCCCAGACUCCUACGGGAGGCAGCAGUGGGGAAUUUUGGACAAUGGGCGCAAGCCUGAUCCAGCAAUGCCGCGUGAGUGAAGAAGGCCUUCGGGUUGUAAAGCUCUUUCAGUCGAGAAGAAAAGGUUGUGAUGAAUAAUCACAACUCAUGACGGUAUCGACAGAAGAAGCACCGGCUAACUACGUGCCAGCAGCCGCGGUAAUACGUAGGGUGCGAGCGUUAAUCGGAAUUACUGGGCGUAAAGGGUGCGCAGGCGGCUUUGUAAGUCAGAUGUGAAAUCCCCGGGCUUAACCUGGGAAUUGCGUUUGAAACUACAAAGCUAGA